CUAUGAGCAAGAGCCCGUGCUGGCAUAAGGCCAGCUUCAUCUUCAACCACAACAACAGAAUGCCAAUAAAUGAAAACAACAGGAAACGGUGAAUGGGACGGAUUAACGAAAGGACCGGUGAUGCAGAAAGUGACCGAGCUGGUCUAUGAGCAAGAGCCCGUGCUGGCAUAAGGCCAGCUUCAUCUUCAACCACAACAACAGAAUGCCAAUAAAUGAAAACAACAGGAAACGGUGAAUGGGACGGAUUAACGAAAGGACCGGUAGUUCCUGAUUGGUGGUUUAUUGCUGCUGUAUUCAACUCGCCUGAUUGAAGACCAACACCGCCAUCCAUGUUAUAUUUGGAAGGAAUUCAGGGAGAACACAUCGUUAGACUGGGCAGUUUAUAUGGAAUUCAGG
This is a long non-coding RNA of Macrobrachium nipponense, 396 nucleotides long. RefSeq lists it as uncharacterized. The record is from RefSeq and is a predicted model, not a curated record. NCBI's taxonomy places the organism in Eukaryota, Metazoa, Arthropoda, Malacostraca, Decapoda, Palaemonidae. The transcript is spliced from 3 exons.